RNAcentral lists this ribosomal RNA (253 nucleotides) under uncultured bacterium. RNAcentral's name for it is "partial 16S ribosomal RNA". It matches the Rfam family "Bacterial small subunit ribosomal RNA", at positions 524 to 776 of the family's 1533-position model. The record is from RNAcentral.
UACGAAGGGGGCUAGCGUUGCUCGGAAUCACUGGGCGUAAAGCGCACGUAGGCGGAUUGCUAAGUCAGGGGUGAAAUCCUGGAGCUCAACUCCAGAACUGCCUUUGAUACUGGCAACCUUGAGUCCGGGAGAGGUGAGUGGAACUGCGAGUGUAGAGGUGAAAUGCGCAGAUAUCAGGAGGAACACCUAUGGCGAAGGCAGCUCGCUGGGACGGUACUGACGCUGAGGCGCGAAAGCGUGGGGAGCGAACAGG